GGUUGAUAAUAGGAAUUGGAAUUGAGUUUUUCCAGUCACUGGUGGGUUGUUGGCACUCUUCUCAUCUGCAAUUGAGCCCUUGUGAAAGCAUUUGGUAUUUCCUCCUUGUCAAAGUUAUGGAAGCUCAAAAAAGGGGAUCAACAAAAGGAAAGCGCAAGGCUGAGAGUAAUGUGCAACAAUCAAGAGUUGGCCGAGAUGCAUUUUUUAAUUUCAUG
This is a non-coding RNA of Prunus mume (Japanese apricot), 215 nucleotides long. Lineage: Eukaryota; Viridiplantae; Streptophyta; Magnoliopsida; Rosales; Rosaceae. The record is from RefSeq and is a predicted model, not a curated record.